UAAUUAAUGAACUUGAUAUAAGUAUAUAUUUUGAAAAUAUAAUAAAGAAUUCAUUUUCUAUUAAUU
This 66-nucleotide transfer RNA is filed under the name Discolomatidae sp. 4 ACP-2013. Its description in RNAcentral is "tRNA-Ser". Lineage: Eukaryota; Metazoa; Arthropoda; Insecta; Coleoptera; Discolomatidae. The record is from RNAcentral.